RNAcentral lists this ribosomal RNA (489 nucleotides) under uncultured bacterium. Its description in RNAcentral is "partial 16S ribosomal RNA". It matches the Rfam family "Bacterial small subunit ribosomal RNA", at positions 30 to 507 of the family's 1533-position model. The record is from RNAcentral.
AUUGAACGCUGGCGGCAGGCCUAACACAUGCAAGUCGAACGGUAACAGGAAGCAGCUUGCUGCUUCGCUGACGAGUGGCGGACGGGUGAGUAAUGUCUGGGAAGCUGCCUGAUGGAGGGGGAUAACUACUGGAAACGGUAGCUAAUACCGCAUAAUGUCGCAAGACCAAAGAGGGGGACCUUCGGGCCUCUUGCCAUCGGAUGUGCCCAGAUGGGAUUAGCUUGUUGGUGGGGUAACGGCUCACCAAGGCGACGAUCCCUAGCUGGUCUGAGAGGAUGACCAGCCACACUGGAACUGAGACACGGUCCAGACUCCUACGGGAGGCAGCAGUGGGGAAUAUUGCACAAUGGGCGCAAGCCUGAUGCAGCCAUGCCGCGUGUAUGAAGAAGGCCUUCGGGUUGUAAGUACUUUCAGCGGGGAGGAAGGGAGUAAAGUUAAUACCUUUGCUCAUUGACGUUACCCGCAGAAGAAGCACCGGCUAACUCCGUG